CCUACGGGUGGCAGCAGUGGGGAAUAUUGCGCAAUGGGCGAAAGCCUGACGCAGCGACGCCGCGUGCGGGAUGAAGGUCUUCGGAUCGUAAACUUCUGUCAGCAGGGAAGAACGGUCACUGUGCUAAUCAGUAGUGAAUUGACGGUACCUGCACAGGAAGCACCGGCUAACUCGGUGCCAGCAGCCGCGGUAAUACGGAGGGUGCAAGCGUUAAUCGGAAUUACUGGGCGGAAAGCGCUCGUAGGCGGUAUGUCAAGUCAAGGGUGAAAUCCCCGGGGUCAACGCCGGAACUGCUUUUGAAACUAGCAAACUGGAGUGUGAGAGAGGAAAGCGGAAUUCCAUGUGAAGGAGUGAAAUGCGUAGAUAUCUGGAAGAACAUCAGAGGCGAAGGCGACUAUCUGGCACAUUACUGACGCUGAGGGGCGAAAGCGUGGGGAGCAAACAGGAUUAGAUACCCGGGUAGUC
Molecule: ribosomal RNA, 465 nt
Filed under: uncultured bacterium
Lineage: Bacteria
Description: partial 16S ribosomal RNA
Rfam family: Bacterial small subunit ribosomal RNA
Source: RNAcentral